CAAUAGCACAGUAAGUUAAAUUAGAGCAAAGUAUCAUGAGGCUAAAAACUGUCUCUAGAUCCUAUUGACUGUUGUGUCUUGAAGGAAGGCAAUUUUCUUGUACACUUUUCUUGGAUCUUGUACUCUCCUUGCACACUACUGUAUGAGUGAGACCCUGCAGCCAGGAGUUUUUAAUAUCCUGAUGUCUACUUGCUUAUCUCUGCAAUGCAAGUAGCCAGGCAAUUAUAGGGUUUCUUCUGUUUAUGUCCAGCAUCUAAUGUGCUAGAGCAUUCUAUCAAUCUCACAAAGAAGUAUGAUUGAUAGCAUUCUGAUUGAAAUCCUGCAUGCCAGAUGAGCAAUGCACUACAAACUGCAAAGCUGGAGGCUACAUGCAAAUAGAAAAGGGUGUCGAAGUUAUAUUUGACCACAAGCUCUUUCUAAUUAAACAUUUCGCUUUCAUUGCAAAGAUUCUGAGUACUUUCUUAAGCAAGAUAACUGGGUUGGAACGGAUUAAUCUUUCUCCUUUCUGUCUCUGCAUGGAUGUUAUCUAAGCUGCAGUUAAUAAGUCCGACUUUCAUAUAAAUACUUGUAAAGGUUCUAUGUUCAAUACCUUCUUUCUCCA
Molecule: long non-coding RNA, 601 nt
Organism: Coffea eugenioides
Lineage: Eukaryota; Viridiplantae; Streptophyta; Magnoliopsida; Gentianales; Rubiaceae
Exons: 2
Source: RefSeq, a predicted model, not a curated record